GAUGAACGCUGGCGGCGUGCCUAAUACAUGCAAGUAGAACGCUGAAGGAGGAGCUUGCUCUUCUGGAUGAGUUGCGAACGGGUGAGUAACGCGUAGGUAACCUGCCUGGUAGCGGGGGAUAACUAUUGGAAACGAUAGCUAAUACCGCAUGACAACAGUUAUUGCAUGAUAACUGUUUAAAAGGGGCAACUGCUCCACUACCAGAUGGACCUGCGUUGUAUUAGCUAGUUGGUGAGGUAACGGCUCACCAAGGCGACGAUACAUAGCCGACCUGAGAGGGUGAUCGGCCACACUGGGACUGAGACACGGCCCAGACUCCUACGGGAGGCAGCAGUAGCGAAUCUUCGGCAAUAGACGGAAGUCUGACCGAGCAACGCCGCGUGAGUGAAGAAGGUUUUCGGAUCGUAAAGCUCUGUUGUAAGAGAAGAACGAGUGUGAGAGUGGAAAGUUCACACUGUGACGGUAUCUUACCAGAAAGGGACGGCUAACUACGUG
Molecule: ribosomal RNA, 495 nt
Filed under: uncultured bacterium
Lineage: Bacteria
Description: partial 16S ribosomal RNA
Rfam family: Bacterial small subunit ribosomal RNA
Source: RNAcentral